GAACGCUGGCGGUAGGCCUUAUACAUGCAAGUCGAGCGAGAAAGUAUCUUCGGAUAUGAGUAGAGCGGCGGACGGGUGAGUAACGCGUAGGAAUCUACCUAGUAGAAGGGGAUAGCCCGGGGAAACUCGGAUUAAUACCGUAUACCUCCUUUGGGAGAAAGAGGGCCUCUCUUUGAUGCUCUCGCUACUAGAUGAGCCUGCGUAAGAUUAGCUAGUUGGUGAGGUAAUGGCUCACCAAGGCGACGAUCUUUAGCUGGUCUGAGAGGACGAUCAGCCACAUUGGGACUGAGACACGGCCCAGACUCCUACGGGAGGCAGCAGUAGGGAAUAUUGGACAAUGAGCGCAAGCUUGAUCCAGCCAUACCGCGUGUGUGAAGAAGGCUUUCGGGUUGUAAAGCACUUUAAGCAGGGAGAAAAAGUUAUAGGUUAAUACCCUAU
Molecule: ribosomal RNA, 438 nt
Filed under: uncultured bacterium
Lineage: Bacteria
Description: bacterial SSU rRNA
Rfam family: Bacterial small subunit ribosomal RNA
Source: RNAcentral